CAGGCAAGCUUCACUGUCGAAUGUUCCUGAAUGUGAAGACACAUUUUUUCACGGAGCUUAAGGAAAACACUUUACCAAACUCAUCCAAGAGCAGCAAGCAGCAGAGGCACAGGCAAGCACAAGCAAAGCACACACCACACUCUAAGCAAUCAGUGACAGAUGGGAUGGCCCUAUUUCAACAUAUACACACUGAAAGACACUAAUGUGAAGGUGUUCUGCUUGUGAAUUGUUACAGAAGUACAGAUCAUCUUAAUGUUAAAUUGUUUUAGUAAGAAACUGUACUGUGAAUGUUCUAAGUAAAACUUGUGAUGCUGAGGUCAUGCAUUCUUUUAUGCACUAAAUACUGAUGUUCUUGACUGUUAAUACUGUCCAGCUUAUUGGCAUGGUUUGGAUAUGGCUUGUGAAAAUGUUUUAAUAAUAUGUAUAUGGUUAAAAAAAGAAAACUGUAUUGUGAAGGAGUUCUACGCAGCACUUUAAAAAGUUGAGGUCAUGCAUUCUAUGCACUAAAUAUGGAUGUUGACUGUUCAUACUGUCCAGCUCAUUGCCACUGUUUUGAUAUGGUAAUGAUUUAAUAAAGGUUGGAAUUUGA
This is a long non-coding RNA of Neoarius graeffei (lesser salmon catfish), 589 nucleotides long. RefSeq lists it as uncharacterized. NCBI's taxonomy places the organism in Eukaryota, Metazoa, Chordata, Actinopteri, Siluriformes, Ariidae. The record is from RefSeq and is a predicted model, not a curated record. The transcript has 3 exons.